AGGGAAACAGCAUGUGCUCUUUCUCUUCAAAACAGACCCUUUGUGGCCCUCUCUUUUUGGCACUUCCUCGUCCAUGGACAUCUAAGAGACACCACAGGCACCUUCGGUUGGGUCUGCUCAACAGGUACUGUUCCAUAUUGUAGUAGUUUUCUACCAUGUCUUUUUGCUGUUUUGUUGCAUGUGUUUUGUCUGUGUUGUAACAUUGGCUUGUUGUACGAUGAUGAUGCAGAAGGAGGGCACACUUGAAAGAAGCAAGACAGAGGAAAAGGAUGGUUGUGGUGAAAGCAGAAAUUCAGAUGAAAAACUUGAAAUUGUACAUGGAGAAUCAAACAAUCAUAGAGGAAAAUGAGAAGUUGAGGAAGCAAGCCAUGCUUCUGCACAAAGAG
Molecule: long non-coding RNA, 386 nt
Filed under: Phaseolus vulgaris (common bean)
Lineage: Eukaryota; Viridiplantae; Streptophyta; Magnoliopsida; Fabales; Fabaceae
Description: long non-coding RNA (PVUL_LNC001447)
Source: RNAcentral